Molecule: long non-coding RNA, 1133 nt
Filed under: Capsicum annuum
Lineage: Eukaryota; Viridiplantae; Streptophyta; Magnoliopsida; Solanales; Solanaceae
Description: long non-coding RNA (CANN_LNC000540)
Source: RNAcentral
GCCGUUGUUCUUGUUCUCACAGCACUUCGCUCUGGGAGUACUUGUUUGGCAAUUGUCUUCUUUCCUUCCCACUUGCUCUUCAAGUCCUUGAUUGGUUUGUAUCCAAUAUCACCUGUGACCUUGGCAGAAUUCAACACCUUACAUAAAUGGAACAAAGAUAAAAGGUAACAGAGAACAGCUAUCUGUCACUAUCGGCAGCAACUUGGGCCAACCAGGCAUUUUUAUCCUUUUCUUCUUUAGGAAGUUUAUAUAACAUUGAAUGUGGAAUGGCUUCAGUCACAUGAGCAGGCCAUCUGAUUUCAAAGUUCACCUUCUGCAAUGUUUUCAAUAAUAUAAUAAAGAGAGAGUGAACAACAACUAAUUACAAUCAGAAAAACACUUUCAUCUUAGUUCAGGGAAAGCAGAAUAAAACAUUGCACCCCAGACGUGGCCUAGUGGUUCAAUGAAGUUGAGUUGAUUCAAUUCCCACCACCAGUGACAAACACACCCUUGGUGAUUUCUUCGCAUCUGUUCUAUCCUUGAUGGAUAGAGUUAAGCUAGCCCAGACGCGCCAUAGGUAUCUCAAGAAUAAAUUAUUUUUUUCCACGCACAAAAUAAACAACCCCAAAACCCAGAAAUUAAUUAAGAAACAAAGAGCUCAGAUUCAAGGCCUUAUAGCUUAAACUCAAGUAAGAAGCCAAUUGACAGCGAAUACUCUACAACCAAAAAAUUGUAUUUUUCAUGCACAAAAAACUACAGAACCAAGAAAAUGCACAAUACCCGUUAAUCAAUUUUAAAAAGUUUAACAAAAAUAUUCACACCCAGAAAUUAAUCCAUGCAUGCAGAUGCAGUCAGUUUUGAUAAAUGGAUUUUUGUUCAGUACUUCUGAUAAAUGGAUUUCUGAAAAACAAGGUAAGAACGAUAACUAACUACUAACUGGUGGCGAAAUUUAUCCACAUCUGCAAGCAAAAGAAAGAAUGUAGCAUAACCCCAAAACCAAAAUAAGCAUAGUAUAACUAACCUUUUAUGAGGGCUUUGAUGAUACCCUGUCGACGGCCUAGGCAAUUUUCGAAAGCUUCAUCUACGGUGUGAAAUCCCAUUUCAUUUAGAAAACCACCCAUGCAUGACCACAAGACAGAAACGGAGGAAGAGCU